UACGUAGGGUGCGAGCGUUGUCCGGAAUUAUUGGGCGUAAAGGGCUCGUAGGCGGUUUGUCACGUCGGGAGUGAAAACUCAGGGCUCAACCCUGAGCCUGCUUCCGAUACGGGCAGACUAGAGGUAUGCAGGGGAGAACGGAAUUCCUGGUGUAGCGGUGAAAUGCGCAGAUAUCAGGAGGAACACCGGUGGCGAAGGCGGUUCUCUGGGCAUUACCUGACGCUGAGGAGCGAAAGCUAGGGUAGCGAACGGG
This 253-nucleotide ribosomal RNA is filed under the name uncultured bacterium. RNAcentral's name for it is "partial 16S ribosomal RNA". It matches the Rfam family "Bacterial small subunit ribosomal RNA", at positions 524 to 776 of the family's 1533-position model. The record is from RNAcentral.